AGAGUUUGAUCAUGGCUCAGAACAAACGCUGGCGGCGUGGUUUAGGCAUGCAAGUCGAGCGCGAAAGUUCCUUCGGGAACGAGUAGAGCGGCGAAAGGGUGAGUAAUGCUUGGGCAACUUACCCCUUGGACCGGGAUAGCCUCUGGAAACGGGGGGUAAUACCGGAUGGUCUCGAAGGAGCUGCGGCUCUUUCGAGUAAAGGUGGGCUUCGGCUCGCGCCAGGGGAGAGGCUCGAGUCCUACCAGCUUGUUGGUGAGGUAAUGGCUCACCAAGGCGAAGACGGGUAGCCGGACUGAGAGGUUGGCCGGCCACACUGGCACUGAGACACUGGCCAGACUCCUACGGGAGGCUGCAGUCGAGAAUCUUCCGCAAUGGGCGAAAGCCUGACGGAGCGACGCCGCGUGGAGGAAGAAGGCCUUCGGGUUGUAAACUCCUGUCAGAGUUUAAGAAACCAGGAUGGUUAAUACCCAUUCUGCUGACAAAGGACUCAAAGGAAGCCACAGCUAACUUCGUGCCAGCAGCUGCGGUAAUACGAAGGUGGCAAGCGUUGUUCGGAUUCACUGGGCAUAAAGGGCGCGUAGGCUGUCCUGUAAGCGGUGUGUGAAAGCCCGGGGCUCAACCCCGGAACUGCAUACCGAACUGCAGGACUAGAGGACGAGAGGGGAGCAUGGAACUCUAGGUGGAGCGGUGAAAUGCGUAGAUAUCUAGAGGAACGCCGGUGGCGAAAGCGAUGCUCUGGCUCGCCCCU
This 748-nucleotide ribosomal RNA is filed under the name uncultured bacterium. RNAcentral's name for it is "bacterial SSU rRNA". It matches the Rfam family "Bacterial small subunit ribosomal RNA", at positions 8 to 741 of the family's 1533-position model. The record is from RNAcentral.